GUGGAUUAGAUACCCUGGUAGUCCACGCCGUAAACGAUGAGUACUGGGUGUCGCGGGUAGUUGACCCCUGCGGUGCCGUAGCUAACGCGUUAAGUACUCCGCCUGGGGAUUACGGUCGCAAGAUUAAAACUCAAAGGAAUUGACGGGGGCCCGCACAAGCGGUGGAGCAUGUGGUUUAAUUCGACGCAACGCGAAGAACCUUACCUGGGCUAGACAACGGUGGACCGCUCCAGAGAUGGAGCUUUCCUUUCGGGGACUGCCGGUUCAGGUGCUGCAUGGCUGUCGUCAGCU
Molecule: ribosomal RNA, 291 nt
Filed under: uncultured bacterium
Lineage: Bacteria
Description: partial 16S ribosomal RNA
Rfam family: Bacterial small subunit ribosomal RNA
Source: RNAcentral